RNAcentral lists this ribosomal RNA (497 nucleotides) under uncultured bacterium. RNAcentral describes it as "partial 16S ribosomal RNA". It matches the Rfam family "Bacterial small subunit ribosomal RNA", at positions 28 to 507 of the family's 1533-position model. The record is from RNAcentral.
GAUGAACGCUGGCGGCGUGCCUAAUACAUGCAAGUCGAGCGAACAGACGAGGAGCUUGCUCCUCUGACGUUAGCGUCGGACGGGUGAGUAACACGUGGAUAACCUACCUAUAAGACUGGGAUAACUUCGGGAAACCGGAGCUAAUACCGGAUAAUAUAUUGAACCGCAUGGUUCAAUAGUGAAAGACGGUUUUGCUGUCACUUAUAGAUGGAUCCGCGCCGCAUUAGCUAGUUGGUAAGGUAACGGCUUACCAAGGCGACGAUGCGUAGCCGACCUGAGAGGGGGAGCGGCCACACUGGAACUGAGACACGGUCCAGACUCAUACGGGAGGCAGCAGUAGGGAAUCUUCAGAAAUGGGCGAAAGCCUGACGGAGCAACGCCGCGUGAGUGAUGAAGGUCUUCGGAUCGUAAAACUCUGUUAUUAGGGAAGAACAAAUGUGUAAGUAACUAUGCACGUCUUGACGGUACCUAAUCAGAAAGCCACGGCUAACUACGUG